Tachysurus fulvidraco (yellow catfish) is the source of this 970-nucleotide long non-coding RNA. RefSeq lists it as uncharacterized. The transcript has 2 exons. Lineage: Eukaryota; Metazoa; Chordata; Actinopteri; Siluriformes; Bagridae. The record is from RefSeq and is a predicted model, not a curated record.
GUGUGAGGUUGGAUGAAGGAUCCUUAGUACCAAAAAUUUUCAGAAAUGAUGAAUUAUAUACUCACUAUUAACUGUGUAGUGUAGUGCUCACAUAAUAUGUCAUUUGUGGAACAGCUGGGAGAGAUAUCACAGUUUUCAGCCUGUUUGCUCCAGAAAAAAUUAAUGAGACGAUGUGAAUAGAUUUAAGCAGCAUGUUGAAAUACUGGUUGGGAGAUUGUGACGGCAUCACCAUUACCAGGUAGCAAAGAUAAAGAUGAGUGUAGUGAAAGAAUGAUAAAGCAAACUGAGAACGUAAAGAACAUUUUAAAAAAGAAAGAAAAAAGUAUAAAAUUCUGUAAGUGUCCACCAGAUGGCGUCUAAGCCGUUGGAACCAUUUUCUGGGCGUUUUGAUGAAACCUGUAAAUUUGGAAAUAAGUUUAAGGAAGAAUGAAAAUUACCUUUUAUUGUUCUAUUUCCUAGAACUCCAAACAGCCUAGUGGAUUACUGAAUAGUUUGAUGAGAAUUAAAAUGAUCAUAUGCUAUUUACUUCACAGUCUAACACAAUUAAAUGUUUAGGGAAGUUUCAGAGCAGAAGUAUUUUAUGUGACACAUGUUUUCGUUUGCUUAGGAAUCCCUUCCACAGUCCCACUAAGGAAUGUGUCUGUUUGCACAGGUAUGUUGGCUGAGAACCAGUAUUGGAGCCUAGGAAGAUUCCUGCAACUCCAUCCUGUACCUGCCAGGGUCUUACAACACAGCAGAAAGAGUUAUCUACCACCAUCAAUAAAAUAUAUAUCAACUGAGAGAAUAUCUUUUGCAGUUCUAGAGACCUCCGGAGUUCUGGAGAAUGCCACUGAUGCAUUAUAGUUCUGGCAGUUUAUAUUCACCCAACACCAUAUUAUGACACUUCCUUUGUUUUUUGUUUUGUUUAAUUUGUGCAUACUAUCUAUACACACAAAACCUGAACUAAUAAUUAAACCCUUCAUGAGCAGAA